CGUGUAGGUGGUACUGUAAGUAGGGCGUGAAAGCUCCUGGCUCAACUGGGAGAGGCCGUUCUAAACUGCAGCACUCGAGUUUGGUAGAGGAAGAUGGAAUUCCAGGUGUAGCGGUAAAAUGCGCAGAUAUCUGGAGGAACACCAGUGGCGAAAGCGGUCUUCUAGACCAAUACUGACACUCAGACGCGAAAGCUAGGGUAGCAAACG
This 207-nucleotide ribosomal RNA is filed under the name uncultured bacterium. RNAcentral describes it as "partial 16S ribosomal RNA". It matches the Rfam family "Bacterial small subunit ribosomal RNA", at positions 568 to 774 of the family's 1533-position model. The record is from RNAcentral.